Molecule: ribosomal RNA, 440 nt
Filed under: uncultured bacterium
Lineage: Bacteria
Description: partial 16S ribosomal RNA
Rfam family: Bacterial small subunit ribosomal RNA
Source: RNAcentral
CCUACGGGGGGCAGCAGUGGGGGAUAUUGCACAAUGGGGGAAACCCUGAUGCAGCGACGCCGCGUGAGUGAAGAAGUAUUUCGGUAUGUAAAGCUCUAUCAGCAGGGAAGAAAAUGACAGUACCUGACCAAGAAGCCCCGGCUAACUACGUGCCAGCAGCCGCGGUAAUACGUAGGGGGCAAGCGUUAUCCGGAUUUACUGGGUGUAAAGGGGGCGUUGAUGGUUAUGUAAGUCUGGAGUGAAAGCCCGGGGGCCAACCCCGGGACUGCUUUGGAAACUGUGUAACUGGAGUGCAGGAGGGGCAGGCGGAAUUCCUGGUGUAGCGGUGAAAUGCGUAGAUAUCAGGAGGAACACCGGCGGCGAAGGCGGCCUGCUGGACUGAAACUGACGUUGAGGCUCGAAAGCGUGGGGAGCGAACAGGAUUAGAUACCCGGGUAGUC